RNAcentral lists this long non-coding RNA (471 nucleotides) under Marmota monax (woodchuck). Lineage: Eukaryota; Metazoa; Chordata; Mammalia; Rodentia; Sciuridae. The record is from RNAcentral.
CCUGAAAAUCAACUUAUGUCUUAGUCUAUUUUGUGUAGUUAUAAAAAAUAACUGGAGGCUGAUAAUUUAAAAAUUAAAGAGGUUUAUUUGGCUAAUGAGACAGUCUCUGCCUCACUAACCUUUUGGUCUGACAGAGACAUUGGGACAAUUAGACUAUGGGAGAAGACCAGAUCACCACCCACAUAGGUCCUUUCCCAUGGUGGAUAUGUGGGAACUUGGCAGAUAAUUCACACUGGGUAUCAUACAACUGCAGAAAGGUUUCUCUUAGGUCAAUUUAAAGUACAGAGUAUUGGCUAACUAUACUUCCAAUAUUCUAUACUUGAACAUGCUAGUUACUUUUGCUUCUACCUGCUAUUUUCUAAGACCUUAAGAUAUAGGCAAUAAAGGUUUUCCUCUCAUAUAGAAAGUCUCUAUCCUGUUUUCUGCAAAAAUUAUUACAAUUACACAUCUUCACUGUCUUUUGUGUUUUCA